Molecule: microRNA precursor, 68 nt
Filed under: Nematostella vectensis (starlet sea anemone)
Lineage: Eukaryota; Metazoa; Cnidaria; Anthozoa; Actiniaria; Edwardsiidae
Description: microRNA nve-mir-9443 precursor
Source: miRBase by way of RNAcentral
AGGCGUUUAGCAGCCAGACAGGUUGGGGGACCCAAUCGGGGUAGAGCUAACCGAGACGCUGCCGCGGA